RNAcentral lists this ribosomal RNA (462 nucleotides) under uncultured bacterium. RNAcentral's name for it is "partial 16S ribosomal RNA". It matches the Rfam family "Bacterial small subunit ribosomal RNA", at positions 29 to 507 of the family's 1533-position model. The record is from RNAcentral.
AGUGAACGCUGGCGGCGUGCCUAAUACAUGCAAGUCGAACGAACGAAUAAGAGCUUGCUCUUAUAAGUUAGUGGCGCACGGGUGAGUAAUCUAUAGCUAAUCUGCCUCUUAGUAGAGGAUAACAGUCGGAAACGAUUGCUAAUACUCUAUACUUCUGCUUUACAUAAGUAAAGUAGAGAAAGUUUUUCGCUAAGAGAUGAGGCUAUACUGUAUCAGCUAGUUGGUAAGGUAACGGCUUACCAAGGCUAUGACGCAUAACUGGUCUGAGAGGAUGAUCAGUCACAUUGGAACUGAGACACGGUCCAAACUCCUACGGGAGGCAGCAGUAGGGAAUAUUGCGCAAUGGGGGAAACCCUGACGCAGCAACGCCGCGUGGAGGAGGACACUUUUCGGAGCGUAAACUCCUUUUAUCGGGAAAGAAUAAUGACGGUACCCGAUGAAUAAGCACCGGCUAACUCCGUG